This is a long non-coding RNA of Alnus glutinosa, 813 nucleotides long. RefSeq lists it as uncharacterized. The transcript is spliced from 3 exons. NCBI's taxonomy places the organism in Eukaryota, Viridiplantae, Streptophyta, Magnoliopsida, Fagales, Betulaceae. The record is from RefSeq and is a predicted model, not a curated record.
CUCACCGCACUCCUUUUCCCUCUCAAACUCUCUCUCUCUCCCUCGUUAACCAAAAAUCUCUCUCUUUCUUAUGCUAGGGCUACCGAUCUUCCUCUUCACAUCCCCACCUCCCAAACACACCCACAACCAUCAUCACCCUCAAAGCUCUGCUUUUUAUUUUGGAACGGCUUCGUAGCAAGAGGUAUGGGUCACUCUGGCAUACCUCCCCCAUCCACUAAUCGGUCUACUCGCAAUCCUGACAACUACAAGCAUAACUGGGAGCAGGCGGAGCAUGAAUUGAUGCAAAUGAGAGUGGAAUUGAGGGAAAUGCAGCAGCGAUUGGAACAAACGGAGGAAAGACAACGAAGAAUGGAGGAAAGACAACGAAAAACAGAGGAAAGACAACGAAAAGCAGAGGAAAGACAAAAAGAAAUAGAUUGUAAGCUAGCGUUCCUAAUGGAACACUUCAAGUCUUGCUGAUCGUUUGUGCUAGAGCAGCAGUUAGGAGCAAAUGAAUGAGUAGAGAUUGCAUUCCACUAUCUAAACUUCGAUCGUUAACCAAGCAAUAAGCGUCAUCUCUGCACUAUGAAGACUUGAAAGCAACAGUUAAUGAGCUUGCCGAAGCUUCUGAUGCCUUCAAGGUCCCUCAAUUUGCUGUGGAAUGUGAGGUGGUAGUCUAAAUUCAAUUGUGGAAUACAAUGUUAUGCUGAUGUGAUGCCAAAAUUUAGCUAGGUUUUAUAAUGAGGGUGAGGGGUGCUUUGGUAAGGAACUUCAUGUUCUACGACUUUUAUUGUAAUGAACUUUUUUUGCAAUUAGGUUAUUUGGUUGUUUUUG